AGAGUUUGAUCCUGGCUCAGAGUGAACGCUGGCGGCGUGGAUGAGGCAUGCAAGUCGAGUGGGCUUAUUGAAGCUGAGCGCAAGCAAGGUGGAGAUGAGUCAGCGGCAAACGGGUGAGUAACACGUGGGUAAUCUACCUUCGAGUUCGGGAUAACUUGCCGAAAGGCGGGCUAAUACCGGGUAAGACCACGUCCCCGCAUGGGGAUGAGGUAAAAGGCGGCCGCAAGGCUGCCGUUUGAAGAUGAGCCCGCGCCCUAUCAGCUAGUUGGUGAGGUAACGGCCCACCAAGGCUUUUGACGGGUAGCUGGUCUGAGAGGAUGUCCAGCCACAUUGGGACUGAGACACUGCCCAGACUCCUACGGGAGGCUGCAGUCGAGAAUCUUUAGCAAUGGACGAAAGUCUGACUAUGCGACGCCGCGUGUGCGAUGAAGGCCUUCGGGUCGUAAAGCACUGUCAGAGGGGAGGAUGCCCUUGACAUUGAAUACAUGUCAAGGGUGACAGUACCCUCAGAGGAAGCCACGGCUAACUCCGUGCCAGCAGCCGCGGUAAUACGGAGGUGGCGAGCGUUACUCGGAUUCAUUGGGUGUAAAGGGUAUGUAGGUGGCCUAGUAAGUCGAAUGUGAAAUCCCAUGGCUCAACCAUGGAACUGCAUUCGAAACUGCUGGGCUUGAGUGUGAGAGGGGAAAGCGGAAUUCCCGGUGUAAGGGUGAAAUCUGUAGAUAUCGGGAGGAACACCAGUGGCGUAGGCGGCUUUCUGGCUCGCAACUGACACUGAAAUACGACAGCUAGGGGAGCAAACAGGAUUAGAUACCCUGGUAGUCC
RNAcentral lists this ribosomal RNA (822 nucleotides) under uncultured bacterium. RNAcentral's name for it is "bacterial SSU rRNA". It matches the Rfam family "Bacterial small subunit ribosomal RNA", at positions 8 to 796 of the family's 1533-position model. The record is from RNAcentral.